Molecule: transfer RNA, 85 nt
Filed under: Imperialibacter sp. EC-SDR9
Lineage: Bacteria; Pseudomonadati; Bacteroidota; Cytophagia; Cytophagales; Flammeovirgaceae
Also listed under: 2 other names
Description: tRNA-Leu
Rfam family: tRNA
About the family: Transfer RNA (tRNA) molecules are approximately 80 nucleotides in length. Their secondary structure includes four short double-helical elements and three loops (D, anti-codon, and T loops).
Source: RNAcentral
GCGGAUGUGGUGAAAUUGGUAGACACGCCAGAUUCAGAGUCUGGUGCCGCAAGGUAUGGAAGUUCGAGUCUUCUCAUCCGCACUA